This 65-nucleotide transfer RNA is filed under the name Glycera dibranchiata. RNAcentral describes it as "tRNA-Thr". It matches the Rfam family "tRNA". Rfam says of the family: Transfer RNA (tRNA) molecules are approximately 80 nucleotides in length. Their secondary structure includes four short double-helical elements and three loops (D, anti-codon, and T loops). Lineage: Eukaryota; Metazoa; Annelida; Polychaeta; Phyllodocida; Glyceridae. The record is from RNAcentral.
GCCUACAAAGCUAAAACAUAGCGUUGGUCUUGUAAAUCAAAGGUUGAGAAAAUUCUCUGUAGGCU